GCCCCCAUCGUCUAGUGGCCUAGGACACCGGCCUUUCAAGCCGGCAGCAUGGAUUCGAAUUCCAUUGGGGGCA
This 73-nucleotide transfer RNA is filed under the name Chloroflexi bacterium RBG_16_60_22. Its description in RNAcentral is "tRNA-Glu". It matches the Rfam family "tRNA". Rfam says of the family: Transfer RNA (tRNA) molecules are approximately 80 nucleotides in length. Their secondary structure includes four short double-helical elements and three loops (D, anti-codon, and T loops). RNAcentral also lists the same sequence under 2 other names. Lineage: Bacteria; Bacillati; Chloroflexota. The record is from RNAcentral.